This is a long non-coding RNA of Balaenoptera acutorostrata (minke whale), 242 nucleotides long. RefSeq lists it as uncharacterized. The record is from RefSeq and is a predicted model, not a curated record. NCBI's taxonomy places the organism in Eukaryota, Metazoa, Chordata, Mammalia, Artiodactyla, Balaenopteridae. The transcript is spliced from 3 exons.
GCCGACGCUGUGCCAGGCACUUUGCAGACCUGCGGUAUUUGGUUCAACGCUGGGAAGUCCACUUUUUGCACAACAGAGUUGAAUAUUGGCAAAUCGUUCAACGUGCUUCGCCCUGGCUCAGCAGGAUCUGAGCCCACAGGAUCAGAGGAAAAAGGCGGAUUGUACCAUUAUUGUCACACCACUGAAGAAAUCAUCUUCCAGCUCACAAGACCUCAGAUAAGAGGGAAACUGCUCUACUCAAG